RNAcentral lists this small RNA (111 nucleotides) under Marmota monax (woodchuck). Lineage: Eukaryota; Metazoa; Chordata; Mammalia; Rodentia; Sciuridae. The record is from RNAcentral.
GCUGGACACAGUGGCGCAUGUCUGUAAUCCCAGCAGCUCUGGAAGCUGAGACAAGAGGAUCUCAAGUUCAAAGCCAGCCUCAGGCAGCAACUCAGUGAGACCCUUUUUCUA